This 21-nucleotide ribosomal RNA is filed under the name Sclerotinia sclerotiorum. Its description in RNAcentral is "partial 28S ribosomal RNA". The record is from RNAcentral. Lineage: Eukaryota; Fungi; Ascomycota; Leotiomycetes; Helotiales; Sclerotiniaceae.
CUUCUGCCAAAACCCAAUUUU